CUCCCCCCCCCUUUUUUUUUUUGUCAUUGCAAAUGAAAGCAAGGAGUAAUUUAAAUUACCAUGUUCCUGCUCUUUAAUAAGAAAUGGGAAAUUCUUAUAAAAUAGAGGGGCAGCUCUACAGGACUAAUGGAAGUUGCAUGUGAAUGUUGAACAGAAGGUGUCUUUUUUUCAGUCAUCAUUUUAAGGUUACUAAAGGAAAGAUAAGCCAGACUUCCCUCACCCUGCUAUUGCUCCUGAUGCACUGGACAUCUGUUUCACAUCCCAAGGAUGAUAACGGGCGCCAGAGGUGAGCAUUAUCCUGAAUUCUGGAAUAAGGACAAUAUAAAAAUGAAAUACUUUUUACUCAGCUUUUACUUCUAUGUAUUGCAAAAAGGAAAGGGCAGAGUAGUCCUCUUACACCCUGGAACAGUCCCCUGGCCGGUGCCAUCAGCACAGACAAAUGCUGACAAAGCUCAGGCCUGCCUGGUGCACUUUAAACAGGUCUCCUGUCAACAUUAUUAAUGUUUCUAAAUGAAAGGAGGUAAUGGGCACAGACCAUGCACCAGGCUUGAGGGAAGAAAAAGCUUAAUGAAAUGUAAUAACUUGUUAAAACUCCAUUGAUGUACAGUGAUCCUGUAGUUAAUUAAUGUUCAGAAUGGCUUAAUGCCACCAAUUCUUUGUUUAUAAGAAGGGGAGCAGGGCUAAGCCCAGGUGUACGUGUUGAGGUUUCUCUCGAUUUCAUCAGGUAAUUUGUUUUCAGGAUCUUUUCACCUUCAAUUACAGCAGUUAUAACUGCAGUAAACGUCUGACCUGGCAAAUAUCCCUCUAUUGUUGUAAAAUUGUAAUGCAGAUGCUGGGUGAAAGAAGGGAAUGCAUGUGCCUUCCCAAGACGUUAUGCAGGCUGAGUUGCUUGCAAGAGUCUCUGAUCCCUAACAAAUGCACAGUCCUCACCCAUUUGCUGCAAGCCCCUGCAGUAAGGGUUGGUGUGCCCCUGGAAUCACAGCCAUCACAAGCAAAGAGGAACACCGCUGCUGCUCAGGGGCGGUGACAUCCCAACAGCAGUUUCUGUUGUCUUCACUGCAGUCAGUAACAGAGCUCAUAUUAAUAACCAGUCUUAGUAGUUAUGGAGUAAAGCUUAGUACACAUUUCCAGGAAAGUGAUCUAGGGACAUACCUUCCUCAUCUUUUGGAAAUCAUCACAGAUCUGAGGCAUGAUCCUUUUCCUGUAAUUGACAAUCUCGUCCCAGACUCAUGGAAGCUUUGCUUAACAGCUUUGCUGUGAUACUCACCUCGGUAAAGUGGCAAACAGGCAACUCAUCUAUAUUACUUAGGGCAGAGCAGAUCAUCCUGCAAAUGGGUCGGCAGAGAAAGCCAUCUGCCCAGCACUAGUGGAAGCUUUUGGUAACUCAUGGCCUCUUGCUUCUGAGAUACAAAGGUGCCCAAACCCAUAAACCAGUCAAGGCAGUGACACAACUUCACUGUGUGGUCUGCCGAAAAUUUCUGUCCUGAUGCUCCCUGGAUUUCUCCCUAUACAACCUUGAAAGCAGAUGUCUGAAACUGCCAAUCCCCACACCCACUGUGCAGAGGUGACUAUCUCUCAGUGAGCCUCCGAGAUGGGUAUAUGACUUCCUGGCAAUACCAGAGCCAUCUCACGAUUCUGGUUCAAUGUUAAAAUGCCUACAAUCCACCUAUACACACACCGUCAGGAAAACGACUCUGAAACAGAGAGUAUUAAGUAAGUUUAACAUCAGGGAAUUGCUCAAACUUCUUGCUGGCUGCUGUCCAAAGUCACUGCACACUUAACUAUCUGCUGAAUAACCCCUAACGUGAUGCUUUCAGCUGCCCAGGAGCCAAGUUUCAUGCCACCAUGCUGUUGAUACCUGAGAGAAUUAACAGCAGAGUUGCUUCUUUCAGACGUCUCCUGGUCUGCCUACAGGGUCCUGUACAAUGUCCUGUGCCGAGUAUCACAGUACACCCCACAAUAUCAGCCUUGUCUUAUAAACACCUAUUAAACACAUCAUUAAAUAUUCUGUUAUAAUAUCUGCUCUAUCUGUUAAAAGUCACAAGUUUUACUUUCGGGAAGUAAUACUAAAGUCAGGCAUCUGUUCUGUAUUCUACAGUGCAGUGGGACUCGAAUUUUGAGGACAUCUCUCUGUAUUAAUCUUUCUUGCAGAGGUUUUUAUUUUUUUAAUUUACUUUUUUCUUUUAAAAAAAAAAAGCAUCUUUUUAGAAGCACAAUCCUCCUGAGAUGAAAAAAACUCCUCCCAGGUACAGCAGCUCACAAGCAGCUACAAUGCAAGUUCAGUAAGUCACUUUCAUAAUGAAAAGAACGUCCAUGUUCUGCACUAUUAAGUAGCCUAAGGAGGCUUUUAGUUACUGCAUUAUCUGAAGUAACAAUAGCCAAUUUAGGCGAAAAGAUUAUCUAGUUCAACUUGAUAAGAUUACUGUACCGAAAGAGAAGCCGCAGAGAAUUUUUUGUGGAGCUAUUAAGACACAAAAAGAAUCUUUACUUGCCAUUAAUAUUGUAAAGUUGAAAUUUGAGUUACUAAAAACACCAGGCAGCCUGCUCACCAGUUGUUGCACUUUAAGGGCAAACUUACCAUUCCCAAAGUCCAGUAAGUAGUUUCAGAAAUACAGGUUAUUGAACAGAAGUGAAAAACCCAAAUACCACAGCCAUUAAUGAAAGUUUCCUGAGAACUUCAAGGGGAAAAACACCAUAUGUUACAGGGCUAGAGCUGUCCCAAAAGAUAAUCCAUAACACAGAAAAUAUCUGAAAGAUGCAACUUUCCAGGCAAACAGGAAUCAUUACAAGCUUACAAUCAAAUGGAAUAAAUUUCCCAAAUGAGUUGUUUUCUUUGGACGUCUGUCCUCGAUUCUUUUUUCUCACACCACUUACUUAGGGUAGGUGUAAGUUAAAUGGAUAACUAGCAAUGUCAUGACUAAUAAAAAGAUUGUGGGAUCACUAGAAAUUAUAAGUUUAAGAACACAGUAUUGAAGAGGAAGAGAACGGGAAAUCUGAACCUACCUUUUCUUACAUUAACCCACACGGACAACAGAAGAGAUUUUACACUGGAAUCUGAAAGACUUUAAUGUUUUAAUACAGGUGGAAGCAUAAGACAGCUAUAUACAUUUUGUGCAACAUAUACACAAGCCUUCUCUUAACAAACAACAGCUCUAUCAUACUGGUGCAACUCCAGGUGAAUGUACUGCAUUCCACAAGUUCAGUACUAGAGACCACUGUUGUUUCUCAUUCUACUAAAAUAAUAAAUUAGAAAUUACAAAUUUAUGAUUUCUUUAAGAACAUACUGAAUCAGAUUUUCAAAAGUACAGUUUCAAGAGGGUCAGGUCACACUCAAUGUGAAUUGAGUUGUGAAAAUACUUUGAUUCUCAUGUGUUGCAAUACAGGCUCUGCUUAUAUAGACAUUUUAA
This is a long non-coding RNA of Pezoporus occidentalis (night parrot), 3407 nucleotides long. RefSeq lists it as uncharacterized. Lineage: Eukaryota; Metazoa; Chordata; Aves; Psittaciformes; Psittacidae. The transcript is spliced from 2 exons. The record is from RefSeq and is a predicted model, not a curated record.